AUUGAACGCUGGCGGCAGGCCUAACACAUGCAAGUCGAACGGUAACAGGAAGAAUCUUGCUUCUUUGCUGACGAGUGGCGGACGGGUGAGUCAUGUCUGGGAAACUGCCUGAUGGAGGGGGAUAACUACUGGAAACGGUAGCUAAUACCGCAUAACGUCGCCAGACCAAAGAGGGGGACCUUCGGUCCUCUUGCCAUCGGAUGUGCCCAGAUGGGAUUAGCUAGUAGGUGGGGUUACGGCUCACCUAGGCGACGAUCCCUAGCUGGUCUGAGAGGAUGACCAGCCACACUGGAACUGAGACACGGUCCAGACUCCUACGGGAGGCAGCAGUGGGGAAUAUUGCACAAUGGGCGCAAGCCUGAUGCAGCCAUGCCGCGUGUAUGAAGAAGGCCUUCGGGUUGUAAAGUACUUUCAGCGGGGAGGAAGGGAGUAAAGUUAAUACCUUUGCUCAUUGACGUUACCCGCAGAAGAAGCACCGGCUAACUCCGUG
RNAcentral lists this ribosomal RNA (490 nucleotides) under uncultured bacterium. RNAcentral's name for it is "partial 16S ribosomal RNA". It matches the Rfam family "Bacterial small subunit ribosomal RNA", at positions 30 to 507 of the family's 1533-position model. The record is from RNAcentral.